UAGAAUUCACUCUAGGUGUGGCGGUAGCACCCGGUUUUCUGUUGAUAUGAUGUAAGCUUCCGCAGCGUUUUAUUACGGAUUUUGUAAUAAAUGUAAGAGUUGAAAAUUGGGGUGUUACAUGCACCAACAACAGCAACCCCAUCCCCAAUAAGGCGAUCGCCGAUAGGAAAAACAGCCAAGCCUUCACUGGAGAAGACCCCACCACCACUAACACAGAGAGAACAACAAAAAGAAGCAACAGCGUCUCCAAAAUCUCCUGAGAUAGCAAUCAUGUUGGAAUUAUUGGUUGAAAAUAUUUCUAGAGUGGCUACAGAGCAACAACAAGUAGCCCCAUCUGCUUCAAUACCAUCUGCUACAACAUCACUAACAGAAACACCAAAAACACCAGCUGAAAUUGAAUUUGAAAGAGUCUGAAGAAGAAAUUGAAGAUGUUCACACAAAGAAAAGACCACAAAGAAAGUUGAAACAACUUCCUCUGGCCUUACGCUCACCAUAUUGGACACAAAACAGAACAAAGCUGACAAACAUUUCAACUAAACAAAAAAUAUUUUCAGACUAUGCAUUCUUGUCUUGCGGUGGUCAAUAUUCAAUGAAUGAUAUGCUUUAUUUGGGAAACAAUUAGGUCGCUAACCGGGAUGAUUUCAUGUCAUUGGCAUCCGGUUAUGUAUCUACCAACAUUGUGCAAAUUUGGUGUCAAAUGAUGAGUUUACUAGAAAUGCGAAGAUCAAUUGACAAGCCAAAAACGGUUUUCUUCUCAGAAGUCGUUUUUGUAUUCUUCAGUAUCCUCCGACACCAACAUUUCUACCUGAUGUGCUUUAAUUUCUUGAGAUCAAGACUUCAAAUAAUUGACAACAGGCCUAUUCAUGAAGGAAUUAAAGCACAAGACAAGUAUGAAGGUUGUCCGAAGAAACUAUUGAUUGCCUUCACUAAGUAUCUCGCAACAAAGAAGAGUGCACUUGCAAAGAAGAUGAAAUCAAUGAGAGUGCAAUACAUGCAGCUGCCUUGGCAAAAUGAAGAAAA
Molecule: long non-coding RNA, 1020 nt
Organism: Ipomoea triloba (trilobed morning glory)
Lineage: Eukaryota; Viridiplantae; Streptophyta; Magnoliopsida; Solanales; Convolvulaceae
Exons: 5
Source: RefSeq, a predicted model, not a curated record